Podarcis lilfordi (Lilford's wall lizard) is the source of this 74-nucleotide non-coding RNA. The record is from the annotation of a GenBank genome assembly. Lineage: Eukaryota; Metazoa; Chordata; Lepidosauria; Squamata; Lacertidae.
GGAAGGUCAUAGCUCAGUGGCAGAGCUUCUGUUCUGCAAACAGGUGCUCUGAGAUUCAAUCCCUGGCAACUCCA